GCGAUACAGGGUGACAGCCCCGUACACAAAAAUGCACAUAUUGUGAGCUCGAUGAGUAGGGCGGGACACGUGGUAUCCUGUCUGAAUAUGGGGGGACCAUCCUCCAAGGCUAAAUACUCCUGACUGACCGAUAGUGAACCAGUACCGUGAGGGAAAGGCGAAAAGAACCCCGGCGAGGGGAGUGAAAAAGAACCUGAAACCGUGUACGUACAAGCAGUGGGAGCCUCUUAAUGGGGUGACUGCGUACCUUUUGUAUAAUGGGUCAGCGACUUAUAUUCUGUAGCAAGGUUAACCGAAUAGGGGAGCCGAAGGGAAACCGAGUCUUAACUGGGCGUUAAGUUGCAGGGUAUAGACCCGAAACCCGGUGAUCUAGCCAUGGGCAGGUUGAAGGUUGGGUAACACUAACUGGAGGACCGAACCGACUAAUGUUGAAAAAUUAGCGGAUGACUUGUGGCUGGGGGUGAAAGGCCAAUCAAACCGGGAGAUAGCUGGUUCUCCCCGAAAGCUAUUUAGGUAGCGCCUCGUGAAUUCAUCUCCGGGGGUAGAGCACUGUUUCGGCAAGGGGGUCAUCCCGACUUACCAACCCGAUGCAAACUGCGAAUACCGGAGAAUGUUAUCACGGGAGACACACGGCGGGUGCUAACGUCCGUCGUGAAGAGGGAAACAACCCAGACCGCCAGCUAAGGUCCCAAAGUCAUGGUUAAGUGGGAAACGAUGUGGGAAGGCCCAGACAGCCAGGAUGUUGGCUUAGAAGCAGCCAUCAUUUAAAGAAAGCGUAAUAGCUCACUGGUCGAGUCGGCCUGCGCGGAAGAUGUAACGGGGCUAAACCAUGCACCGAAGCUGCGGCAGCGACACUAUGUGUUGUUGGGUAGGGGAGCGUUCUGUAAGCCUGUGAAGGUGGCCUGUGAGGGUUGCUGGAGGUAUCAGAAGUGCGAAUGCUGACAUAAGUAACGAUAAAGCGGGUGAAAAGCCCGCUCGCCGGAAGACCAAGGGUUCCUGUCCAACGUUAAUCGGGGCAGGGUGAGUCGACCCCUAAGGCGAGGCCGAAAGGCGUAGUCGAUGGGAAACAGGUUAAUAUUCCUGUACUUGGUGUUACUGCGAAGGGGGGACGGAGAAGGCUAUGUUGGCCGGGCGACGGUUGUCCCGGUUUAAGCGUGUAGGCUGGUUUUCCAGGCAAAUCCGGAAAACCAAGGCUGAGGCGUGAUGACGAGGCACUACGGUGCUGAAGCGACAAAUGCCCUGCUUCCAGGAAAAGCCUCUAAGCAUCAGGUAACAUCAAAUCGUACCCCAAACCGACACAGGUGGUCAGGUAGAGAAUACCAAGGCGCUUGAGAGAACUCGGGUGAAGGAACUAGGCAAAAUGGUGCCGUAACUUCGGGAGAAGGCACGCUGAUAUGUAGGUGAAGCGACUUGCUCGUGGAGCUGAAAUCAGUCGAAGAUACCAGCUGGCUGCAACUGUUUAUUAAAAACACAGCACUGUGCAAACACGAAAGUGGACGUAUACGGUGUGACGCCUGCCCGGUGCCGGAAGGUUAAUUGAUGGGGUUAGCGGUAACGCGAAGCUCUUGAUCGAAGCCCCGGUAAACGGCGGCCGUAACUAUAACGGUCCUAAGGUAGCGAAAUUCCUUGUCGGGUAAGUUCCGACCUGCACGAAUGGCGUAAUGAUGGCCAGGCUGUCUCCACCCGAGACUCAGUGAAAUUGAACUCGCUGUGAAGAUGCAGUGUACCCGCGGCAAGACGGAAAGACCCCGUGAACCUUUACUAUAGCUUGACACUGAACAUUGAGCCUUGAUGUGUAGGAUAGGUGGGAGGCUUUGAAGUGUGGACGCCAGUCUGCAUGGAGCCGACCUUGAAAUACCACCCUUUAAUGUUUGAUGUUCUAACGUUGGCCCGUAAUCCGGGUUGCGGACAGUGUCUGGUGGGUAGUUUGACUGGGGCGGUCUCCUCCUAAAGAGUAACGGAGGAGCACGAAGGUUGGCUAAUCCUGGUCGGACAUCAGGAGGUUAGUGCAAUGGCAUAAGCCAGCUUGACUGCGAGCGUGACGGCGCGAGCAGGUGCGAAAGCAGGUCAUAGUGAUCCGGUGGUUCUGAAUGGAAGGGCCAUCGCUCAACGGAUAAAAGGUACUCCGGGGAUAACAGGCUGAUACCGCCCAAGAGUUCAUAUCGACGGCGGUGUUUGGCACCUCGAUGUCGGCUCAUCACAUCCUGGGGCUGAAGUAGGUCCCAAGGGUAUGGCUGUUCGCCAUUUAAAGUGGUACGCGAGCUGGGUUUAGAACGUCGUGAGACAGUUCGGUCCCUAUCUGCCGUGGGCGCUGGAGAACUGAGGGGGGCUGCUCCUAGUACGAGAGGACCGGAGUGGACGCAUCACUGGUGUUCGGGUUGUCAUGCCAAUGGCACUGCCCGGUAGCUAAAUGCGGAAGAGAUAAGUGCUGAAAGCAUCUAAGCACGAAACUUGCCCCGAGAUGAGUUCUCCCUGAGACUUAGAGUCUCCUGAAGGAACGUUGAAGACGACGACGUUGAUAGGCCGGGUGUGUAAGCGCAGCGAUGCGUUGAGCUAACCGGUACUAAUGAACCGUGAGGCUUAACCUU
Molecule: ribosomal RNA, 2588 nt
Filed under: Escherichia coli
Lineage: Bacteria; Pseudomonadati; Pseudomonadota; Gammaproteobacteria; Enterobacterales; Enterobacteriaceae
Description: partial 23S ribosomal RNA
Rfam family: Bacterial large subunit ribosomal RNA
Source: RNAcentral